UACAGAGGUGGCAAGCGUUGUUCGGAAUUACUGGGCGUAAAGGGCGCGUAGGCGGUCUUUUAUGUCUUGUGUGAAAUCCCUCGGCUCAACUGAGGAACUGCACGGGAUACUGGAAGACUUGAGUUCGGGAGAGGGAAGCGGAAUUCCGGGUGUAGCGGUGAAAUGCGUAGAUAUCCGGAGGAACACCGGUGGCGAAGGCGGCUUCCUGGACCGACACUGACGCUGAGGCGCGAAAGCUAGGGGAGCAAACGGG
Molecule: ribosomal RNA, 253 nt
Filed under: uncultured bacterium
Lineage: Bacteria
Description: partial 16S ribosomal RNA
Rfam family: Bacterial small subunit ribosomal RNA
Source: RNAcentral